RNAcentral lists this ribosomal RNA (536 nucleotides) under uncultured eukaryote. Its description in RNAcentral is "eukaryotic LSU rRNA". The stretch from base 147 to 299 matches the Rfam family "5.8S ribosomal RNA". The record is from RNAcentral.
UUCCGUAGGUGAACCUGCGGAAGGAUCAUUAACACUAAUCCAAUUCAACUCAACAAAGCCUUUAGUUGUAGCGUGGUAACAUGCUACAGCAACAUACAAAACUAAUAAGUCAAAGGAACUUAACAAAGCAACUAAAACAAAAACCAAAUUCUCAACGGUGGAUGUCUUGGUUCCCACAACGAUGAAGAACGCAGCGAAGUGCGAUAAGCAGUGCGAAUUGCAGAACCGUGAGUCAUCAGAUUUUUGAACGCAACUGGCGCCGUGCGGGGUCACCCGCCGGCACGCCUGGUCCAGUGUCUUGUUUUCUCAUCACCAAAAUCAUAAUGCGAGAGAUACCCUUCUCUCGUCAAGCACGAAAGCACUCUGCGCUCUGCGAGCGGCCUUCGGGUCGCACUCAAUGCAGCAGUCACAUUUUUACAAGUGUGAACUCAUUGAGAGUGGACGCAGCGAAGAGUAAUCUUCAAGUGUUUAGUCACACCAACUUUGGUACGGUAUCUGGGCUCAGGUGGGACCACCCGCUGAAAUUAAGCAUAUCA